CUCCUCCUCCUCUUCCUCCUUUCCGUCUCGUACAGCUCUGAUAGAUGUCCGACCAUGACAGCCUAAAGUGUAGAUCUGAAGCUCCACAGCAGAAACCUUUUAACUGUAUUAAACUGUCACACCACCAUUCUUCAUGCAGCUCACUGACAUCAACGGUUUUAACAUGGAGGCUAGAGGACUAAAUCUCUCUCUGCUGGUUCACCUCGUCUCCCUUUCUGGGUCAUGUGAUCUCUCUCAUGUGGCCUGUUAAAAGUCAUUGCUGAUAUUAAACACCAUGAUGACAUUAAAUACCAUCUUCAACAUAAUUACUGGCAUUUAAAACUAUAGAUUGCUAUUUAGACUACCAGUCUCGGGCUCCUGAAUCUGACGUCAUCAUGUUUAAGAAUCAAGAGAAUUUACUGGCUAAUUGUUGAUGUUUAAAUGACAAGUGUGUGUUUUUAAACCCUGGCUGGUGUUUGUCUUAGCAAACUGAAGAUGUGUCAUGACACUUCCACACACAAAACCUAUGACAAAGAAGGCAUCAUGGUUACAGUCAGCAGCAACCUGGAGACUGCAAACAGCAGCUCUGCCAUCGUCAGAGCAUCCAGGAAAUAUGUCAUCAUCCCCAGGUCGACAGGCAUUGUGUGGUGAUCUCUUGCAUCCAGACUCGGUGCUCACUUGACCUGCAUAGGAAGACUUCUGGUCUUGUAGGAUCAUCUGGAUCAGAGUCUUCCUUGUGGACACAGUGAUGGUCACUUAAACUGAGGAUAGAAUAGAUUAUAGACUGUUCAGGUUCCUUUUGCAACCAUGCAAUCUAAUAAAUAUCACUGUCUUUCUGGAGUCUGGGGACACCGACCUAUAUAUCUUGGUUUGGUCCAAGAUGCUGCAUCAGCAAGUUUGUCAACUGGACACAUACUGCAUUUUUAUCAGGUUUAGGAAGGAAAACAAACAUUCACAGAAGCCCUUACAUAUUGUAUGAGUUCUGCUGACCUGUUCUCCUGCUGUGCUGAGAGACACUUCUGGCCUCAUGGACCCACUUGCGCUGCUGCUGCAUUUUAACUUUGUUUGGAUGUAAUGCAAGAUUUCCCUGCAGGAUAACUGUCCUCACUUUCAGUGACAGGGUGAGGACAUGAAGAUGGAUGGAUGGAUGGAUGGAUGGAUGGAUGGAUGGAAGGAUUUGGUGCUACACAAAUUUGGCUGGCUGUGUGUCAGUGUUUUGCUGCACUAGCUCUGCAUUUACAUUCAAACUAAGGUUUACAA
Sebastes umbrosus (honeycomb rockfish) is the source of this 1239-nucleotide long non-coding RNA. RefSeq lists it as uncharacterized. Lineage: Eukaryota; Metazoa; Chordata; Actinopteri; Perciformes; Sebastidae. The record is from RefSeq and is a predicted model, not a curated record. The transcript is spliced from 3 exons.